CGAUAUUUUUAUUAAAAAUAAACUAAAUUACAGAAUCGUUAAACAUUCGAUGUUUAAAUAAGCAAAUAUAAAUAUAGUAAUCAACACUCGUCUGAAAUCGAGUCGAUCUUCUGAAUCAGAAUCCGAAAUAUCUGAUUCUAAUGCAGACGGUAUGGUGGACUUUAAAGUGGAAGCCAUGUGCGUCAUGUCAAGUCCGGAAGUUUUCAAAGUCUUAUUGAGUUUAUUGAUAUAAAAUUUCAUGGCAUUGAACUUCUUCUUGUAUUUGGAGACGUCUUUCUGACUCUCGUUACACUUGUUCAGAAAAUGAAAACAAAAAUGAGUUUGAUAAUCAACAAAAUUAUUGAAAUAUAUUUAAAAUACCUCAAUUUUCUUAAAUUUUUCCGACCAAACUGCAUCUGGUGCUGCAUCAAUAGUCGUGUUUUCGGAGAUAGACUCUUUUCCUUUUCAAUUUAGAGAAGUUCAUCUUUCGUUCGUUGUGCUCACCAUACUGACAGCUUCUCCAAUUCCUAUGAUCCUACUCUUUUUAUUUUUUCCAAAAGUAUUGUUGACCGUCGCUUUGAUAAAUUGCUGCAUUAUAAAAAGUGAAUAAAUAGUGGCAGUGCUGGUUGCGGAACUAGAAGGGCCGGUGCUGGACGAACAGGUGCCAGCGGUGCGGGAGGGGCCGGUGCUGGACGUACUGGUGCUGGUGCAGAAUGAACCGGGAGAUAAAACCGGAAAACAUCUUGGGGAUUGGGUGGUAGAGCCCUCUUACGAGAUAAUUGCUUCACCCUACGUGAUAUUUUUAAAAUCUAAAAAAAAAUUAUAAAUUAAUUAAUUAAUUUAAUAUUUUUUAAACAAACAAUUAAUUAAUUAAUCAUUUCAUGGCAAAUUAAUGAUUAUUAUUUCAAUUUAAAAUCAUUCAAUUUAAUAAUUAUUCAUUAUGAUUUCUUUAAUUUCAUGCAAAUUAAUCAUUAUUAUUUUAAUUUAAUAAUUAAUUAACAAAUUUUUAAUUUCAUUUAAAUUAAUCAUUAUUAUUUCAAUUUAAAAUCAUUCAAUUUAAUAAUUGUUAAUUAACUAAUUUAUAAUUUCAUGCAAAUUAAUUAAUUAAAUUGUUUUAACAAUAAUUAAAUAGUUUUAAAAUAAAAUGAUUAAAUAUUUCAUUAUUAACAAAUUUUUCAAAUCAUUUCAUGUAAAUUUAUUAAUUAAUAUUCAAUUUAAUAAUUCAAUUGUUAAUUUCAUGCCAAAUAAUAAUUUAAUAUACUAAUUGUUAUUUCAAUUGACAAUUAAAAUGAUCAUUUAAUCAUUUAAUUUUACAAUAAAUUUAAUAAUUUAAAAUUUAGUUGACUAAAUAAAUAUAUUUAAUUUUUUACCGCAAAUUAGCUUCUACUUCAAUCCAAAACUUAAGAAAUCUCGAUUUUAGAAAACCU
This 1406-nucleotide long non-coding RNA is filed under the name Zostera marina. Its description in RNAcentral is "long non-coding RNA (ZMAR_LNC005870)". The record is from RNAcentral. Lineage: Eukaryota; Viridiplantae; Streptophyta; Magnoliopsida; Alismatales; Zosteraceae.